RNAcentral lists this ribosomal RNA (301 nucleotides) under uncultured bacterium. RNAcentral's name for it is "partial 16S ribosomal RNA". It matches the Rfam family "Bacterial small subunit ribosomal RNA", at positions 509 to 809 of the family's 1533-position model. The record is from RNAcentral.
CAGUCGCCGCGGUAAUACGAAGGGGGCUAGCGUUGCUCGGAAUGACUGGGCGUAAAGGGCGCGUAGGCGGAUUGUUUAGUUAGGCGUGAAAUUCCUGGGCUUAACCUGGGGACUGCGCUUAAUACAGGCAGUCUAGAGUGAGGAAGAGGGUUGUGGAAUUCCCAGUGUAGAGGUGAAAUUCGUAGAUAUUGGGAAGAACACCGGUGGCGAAGGCGGCAACCUGGUCCUUGACUGACGCUGAGGCGCGAAAGCUAGGGGAGCAAACAGGAUUAGAGACCCGAGUAGUCCCUGUCUCUUAUAA